This 514-nucleotide ribosomal RNA is filed under the name Staphylococcus pseudintermedius. RNAcentral describes it as "partial 23S ribosomal RNA". It matches the Rfam family "Bacterial large subunit ribosomal RNA", at positions 679 to 1191 of the family's 2925-position model. Lineage: Bacteria; Bacillati; Bacillota; Bacilli; Caryophanales; Staphylococcaceae. The record is from RNAcentral.
GAGUCUGAAUAGGGCGAAUGAGUAUUUGGUCGUAGACCCGAAACCAGGUGAUCUACCCUUGGUCAGGUUGAAGUUCAGGUAACACUGAAUGGAGGACCGAACCGACUUACGUUGAAAAGUGAGCGGAUGAACUGAGGGUAGCGGAGAAAUUCCAAUCGAACUUGGAGAUAGCUGGUUCUCUCCGAAAUAGCUUUAGGGCUAGCCUCAAGUGAUGAUUAUUGGAGGUAGAGCACUGUUUGGACGAGGGGCCCCUCUCGGGUUACCGAAUUCAGACAAACUCCGAAUGCCAAAUAAUUUAACUUGGGAGUCAGAAUGUGGGUGAUAAGGUCCAUAUUCGAAAGGGAAACAGCCCAGACCACCAGCUAAGGUCCCAAAAUAUAUGUUAAGUGGAAAAGGAUGUGGCGUUGCCCAGACAACUAGGAUGUUGGCUUAGAAGCAGCCAUCAUUUAAAGAGUGCGUAAUAGCUCACUAGUCGAGUGACACUGCGCCGAAAAUGUACCGGGGCUAAACAUAU